UGCAAGCCGAGCGGUAGAGAUCUUUCGGGAUCUUGAGAGCGGCGUACGGGUGCGGAACACGUGUGCAACCUGCCUUUAUCAGGGGGAUAGCCUUUCGAAAGGAAGAUUAAUACCCCAUAAUAUAUUGAGUGGCAUCACUUAAUAUUGAAAACUCCGGUGGAUAGAGAUGGGCACGCGCAAGAUUAGAUAGUUGGUGAGGUAACGGCUCACCAAGUCUGCGAUCUUUAGGGGGCCUGAGAGGGUGAUCCCCCACACUGGUACUGAGACACGGACCAGACUCCUACGGGAGGCAGCAGUGAGGAAUAUUGGACAAUGGGUGCGAGCCUGAUCCAGCCAUCCCGCGUGAAGGACGACGGCCCUAUGGGUUGUAAACUUCUUUUGUAUAGGGAUAAACCUACUCUCGUGAGAGUAGCUGAAGGUACUAUACGAAUAAGCACCGGGCUAACUCCGUGCCCAGCAGCCGCGGUAAUACGGAGGGUGCAAGCGUUAUCCGGAUUUAUUGGGUUUAAAGGGUCCGUAGGCGGAUCUGUAAGUCAGUGGUGAAAUCUCACAGCUUAACUGUGAAACUGCCAUUGAUACUGCAGGUCUUGAGUGUUGUUGAAGUAGCUGGAAUAAGUAGUGUAGCGGUGAAAUGCAUAGAUAUUACUUAGAACACCAAUUGCGAAGGCAGGUUACUAAGCAACAACUGACGCUGAUGGACGAAAGCGUGGGGGAGCGAACAGGAUUAGAUACCCUGGUAGUCCACGCCGUAAACGAUGCUAUCUCGUUUUUGGGUUUUCGGAUUCAGAGACUAAGCGAAAGUGAUAAGUUAGCCACCUGGGGGAGUACGAACGCAAGUUUGAAACUCAAAGGAAUUGACGGGGGCCCGCACAAGCGGUGGAUUAUGUGGUUUAAUUCGAUGAUACGCGAGGAACCUUACCAAGGCUUAAAUGGGAAAUGACAGGCUUAGAAAUAGGCUUUUCUUCGGACAUUUUUCAAGGUGCUGCAUGGUUGUCGUCAGCUCGUGCCGUGAGGUGUUAGGUUAAGUCCUGCAACGAGCGCAACCCCUGUCACUAGUUGCCAUCAUUAAGUUGGGGACUCUAGUGAGACUGCCUACGCAAGUAGAGAGGAAGGUGGGGAUGACGUCAAAUCAUCACGGCCCUUACGCCUUGGGCCACACACGUAAUACAAUGGCCGGUACAGAGGGCAGCUACACUGCGAAGUGAUGCAAAUCUCGAAAGCCGGUCUCAGUUCGGAUUGGAGUCUGCAACUCGACUCUAUGAAGCUGGAAUCGCUAGUAAUCGCGCAUCAGCCAUGGCGCGGUGAAUACGUUCCCGGGCCUUGUACACACCGCCCGUCAAGCCAUGGAAGUCUGGGGUACCUGAAGUCGGUGACCGUAACAGGAGCUGC
RNAcentral lists this ribosomal RNA (1389 nucleotides) under Chryseobacterium gleum. Its description in RNAcentral is "bacterial SSU rRNA". It matches the Rfam family "Bacterial small subunit ribosomal RNA". Lineage: Bacteria; Pseudomonadati; Bacteroidota; Flavobacteriia; Flavobacteriales; Weeksellaceae. The record is from RNAcentral.